GAGUUUGAUCCUGGCUCAGAUUGAACGCUGGCGGCAGGCCUAACACAUGCAAGUCGAACGAGAAAGUGGAGCAAUCCAUGAGUACAGUGGCGACCGGGUGAGUAACACGUGACUAACCUACCCUCGAGUGGGGAAUAACUCCGGGAAACCGGAGCUAAUACCGCAUAACAUCGCAAGAUCAAAGCCGAAAGGCGCUUGAGGAGGGGGUCGCGGCUGAUUAGCUAGUUGGCGGGGUAAUGGCCCACCAAGGCGAAGAUCGGUAUCCGGCCUGAGAGGGCGCACGGACACACUGGAACUGAAACACGGUCCAGACUCCUACGGGAGGCAGCAGUGGGGAAUUUUGCGCAAUGGGGGAAACCCUGACGCAGCAACGCCGCGUGGAGGAUGAAGUCCCUUGGGAUGUAAACUCCUUUCGACCGGGAAGAUACUGACGGUACCGGAAGAAGAAGCACCGGCUAACUCUGUGCCAGCCGCCGCGGUAA
This 482-nucleotide ribosomal RNA is filed under the name uncultured bacterium. Its description in RNAcentral is "bacterial SSU rRNA". It matches the Rfam family "Bacterial small subunit ribosomal RNA", at positions 9 to 523 of the family's 1533-position model. The record is from RNAcentral.